ACUCCUACGGGAGGCAGCAGUGGGGAAUUUUGGACAAUGGGCGAAAGCCUGAUCCAGCCAUGCCGCGUGCAGGAUGAAGGCCUUCGGGUUGUAAACUGCUUUUGUACGGAACGAAACGGCCUUUUCUAAUAAAGAGGGCUAAUGACGGUACCGUAAGAAUAAGCACCGGCUAACUACGUGCCAGCAGCCGCGGUAAUACGUAGGGUGCAAGCGUUAAUCGGAAUUACUGGGCGUAAAGCGUGCGCAGGCGGUUAUGUAAGACAGUUGUGAAAUCCCCGGGCUCAACCUGGGAACUGCAUCUGUGACUGCAUAGCUAGAGUACGGUAGAGGGGGAUGGAAUUCCGCGUGUAGCAGUGAAAUGCGUAGAUAUGCGGAGGAACACCGAUGGCGAAGGCAAUCCCCUGGACCUGUACUGACGCUCAUGCACGAAAGCGUGGGGAGCAAACAGGAUUAGAAACCCCAGUAGUCCC
This 470-nucleotide ribosomal RNA is filed under the name uncultured organism. RNAcentral's name for it is "partial 16S ribosomal RNA". It matches the Rfam family "Bacterial small subunit ribosomal RNA", at positions 335 to 797 of the family's 1533-position model. The record is from RNAcentral.